This 617-nucleotide non-coding RNA is filed under the name Pongo abelii (Sumatran orangutan). Lineage: Eukaryota; Metazoa; Chordata; Mammalia; Primates; Hominidae. The record is from RNAcentral.
CUUGCUUUUUUAAAGCUUAAUAAUGGAUAGUAGGGGGCAGUAUCAAGGGAUAAUUUGGGUCCCCACAGUACCAAAGCAUUUAGAAACCUCUGCUUAAUUUAAGGAAUGAGAUAAAUUACUGCUUUUCUAGAUUUGGUAGCAUGGGCUGUUGUGCUGGAGAGAACGAGAGCUACGAAGAGACUAGAAUGCCUCUGACUUUUUCAUAGGACAGUUGGCCGAGGAAGACACUUAAAGAUGAAGUGCUUAAUUCAAGGUCACAGAAUGUCGGGGAUGGACCUCCAGAUUUCCUUACUGACCUGCAUUAUCUUGUGGAUACCUGAGUGAAUUCCACACCACCCAUUUUAUAGAUGAAGCCACUGAGACGUGGAGCAACUGACUGAGUAGUCACUGCCCCACCCCUGCCUGGAGCCUCACACAUGACUUCUCUUAGUGACCACAGUACUUAUCCUGUAUUACAUGAGGGAAAUGAAAUAAAAAGACUGCAACCCUCCUCCCAGCUACUCUAGUGAGGUGGUAGCUAGGUGAGACGUGGUCUUGUAACACAGUGGUUAAGAAUGUGACUUUGGAGCCAGCCUGCUAGGGGCUGAAUUCUGACUCAGCCAUUUAUUAACUGUGUG